Felis catus (domestic cat) is the source of this 85-nucleotide non-coding RNA. Lineage: Eukaryota; Metazoa; Chordata; Mammalia; Carnivora; Felidae. The record is from Rfam.
GCCUGGGUGGCUCAGUCGGUUAAGCGUCCGACUUCAGCUCGGGUCAUGAGCUCACGGUUCGUGGGGUCGAGUCCUGUGUCAGGCU